Molecule: ribosomal RNA, 253 nt
Filed under: uncultured bacterium
Lineage: Bacteria
Description: partial 16S ribosomal RNA
Rfam family: Bacterial small subunit ribosomal RNA
Source: RNAcentral
UACGAAGGGUGCAACCGUUGCUCGGAAUUAUUGGGCGUAAAGCGCACGUAGGCGGCAUAGCAAGUCGGAUGUGAAAUCCCUCGGCUCAACCAAGGAAGUGCAUCCGAAACUGCUGUGCUUGAGUACGAAAGAGGAUCGCGGAAUUCCAGGUGUAGCGGUGAAAUGCGUAGAUAUCUGGAGGAACACCGGUGGCGAAGGCGGCAUCCUGGACCGGCAUUGACGCUGAGGCGCGAAAGCCAGGGGAGCAAACGGG